UUCCCAUCCCUUCUCUUCUAAUGCUAACACCAUCAGAUCUCUAGGCACAUGCAUACAUUCCUUCCACUAAUCAGGAUUAUUCCACAAAUCAAAAAAGAGAAAAAAAAAGAGAAAAAAAAACCAAAACAGCAUAUGGCGGGUGGUCCAUUACAUUCCUUUAACAAAACAGCAUUAUUUGCAAAAUGGUAUUUGUAAUUUUCAGUCCCAUUUAUUGGUCACUUUUCACAACCAUUAAGCUUAUUUAAUGGCCACCAAUGAUUCAACAAGUUGUUUUCAUGUCUGGGGGUCACCCCUCCCAAACCCCCAACCUUUUCCAGUUCCUUAGGACACAAUCCAAAAGGGAACCCUUUGGGAUCCCUUCUCGUGGGAGCUAUGAACAUAGCCCCACUCCCAUAUUUACCAUUUUAGGAAAAAACCUUUUAACAUCUUUAAAACUUUUUACAAACUUUCUGUAACUUCUUACAAUCUUUCACAACUUUUUACAACCUUUCCCAAAACCCAGGCUGGUUUGAAAAAUCCCUGAGCCUCACACUGCAAACUUUCUAUUAGUGCAACUUAUGGGCAGGAAAAAAAUCUUCAAAUAAAGUACUUUAAGUGAUGUUGUAUUAUUUCUCCCAGAAAGGGCAGAGUGGUCUACUCACCAGACCAGGAAAUAGGAAGAUCUCCCUGAAAAUAUUCUGGUGUGCACUGGAGUGCUGACGAUUCCUCUCGUCCACUGAGUUGGCACCUCUUUGUCCCAUCUGGGGUACCAGAAACUGCCACCAAAAGCUGGGAAAUAAACUCUUUAACCAAUUUGUUGGGGUAGAAAGUCAACAUAACUUUAUUUGGUGUUAGGGUACAUGGGGAUAGCUCCACAGAACAUGCCAGUUAUCAAAACCUUUAACUAUUCAUACAUCUGAGCAAAGAAGUUAGUAUUCAUUGGCUUACAAGCUACAUAGUUCUCUCCAUUAAAUAGUAUUCUAUUACCUAUUGUUAUUUAUUUAUUGCUUCUAAUGCCAAUUAAUCCACAUCUUUAGUAUUUUUAUUAUUUAUUUAUUUUUCCCAGGUAGAGAGAAUCUCAGUAAUUUUCUUUGUUAGUUUCUCCUUCAUCUCCAGUUUCUCUAAGUGUCUUUGGUUACAAAUUCUGCAUUCUUUGUGGCCAGGUCUCAACGACAAAUUUCUCUCUCUGGUCGAAGAGCACUGAAGCACACCAGUCCCUAAAUUGGUAAUUUGUUUUUCUAACACAUAGGCACCAUCACCCAUAGCUUGCCUGUCAUCUGUUACCCAAUUCAUGGAUUAAAUAUUCUUAAAGCAAUUUCCCUCCCGACACUGCCGCACAGGCUCCUUUUAAGAGAAAUAUUAACUUGUUUGGUAACAGUGCCACCCUUAGGUUCCCCUAAAACACGGAGCACUUGAGAAAAACCGGUUUUCAGAAACAUCCCACUGGCCCCACUGUUGCUCCUUUGUUUUCACAGGAACAAUGAUGCCCCUCCCCAACAAGCCACUCCCAAUCACUGGCUGGAACAAAUGGAUCUCAAACUCUGCUUUGCAAGUCUGGACUGUUCUUUACUGCUGCUUUUGGUCAUGCAGCAAUUGUGAUUGUGUUCCUUAAUCUCCUCAUUACAUCAUUUGUAUGCCUUUAAGCAACUGUAGCUGAAGCUGGGCCAUACAAGAAGUAUGGCAAGAAAGAGAAGCCUUUUUUGUAAAAUAAAAAGCUAAGAAAUUGUAGAAAAUAGAGCAGCGAGACAGCAGCCCAGCAUGGACAACACAGAGUGCUUUCCUAGAGGAAAGGAAAACAUUUAGACAAUUAAACAUUGUUUACUGGGAGUGAGUAACCCUGUGCCCUCAUCCAAGACCAAUGUGCCCAUACUGGCUCUGAAGGUGCUACAGAUCCAGUGCCAAGGGAAACUGGUGACCAGUCACGAGGGACACAGCAGAGACACCAGGCAAGGACCGUGCCACGGGUGGCAGCGAGCAGAUCAGAAGCACGAGUGCCUUCAGGUAUGCCACCUGUGGUUUAAUCACUGUUCAGACCACAAAGCACAAAUUCCCUGACAAAAGACACUUUGAUGUGCAGAGUCCACACUUAAGAUUAAAUAAAAAAAAAAAUUUCUGUCUCCGGCUCCUAUGGAUGCAGCAUUGGCAACACUUGGGAAAUCCCUCGUGGAAUGUACCACAUGAUACUGCAGUACAGAACGUGCUCACAGCGUUCUGACACUCUGGGUUAAGAAAAAAUAUAUUGUUUUGACAGUCCUUGAAGGAGCACUUUGUGCUGGCAGUCCAGGGUAGGAAAAUUAGCCAACACCAUUUCCAGUUCCUCCCUCUGGCAAAUGAAUCCAGAAGGUGGAGUUUGUCACAUGCCCAUGGGCUGACAUUUUAACAACCCUAAGUCAGAUGUUUAGAUGUUUGUCGCUGCUUCUGUAUGUAUCAUCUUCCUGCCUGUUUUGCCAGUGACGUUGUUGUUAUUAUUGAAGCUGAAGGAGAGAGCUGGGAAUUCGGUGCCUGACAAAGUGGGGAAGCAGGAGGAGCAAGUCUUGGGGCUGCACAGCCAGAGCUGCACCAUCAGGGCAGGGAGAAACUUCAGUCAGGGCAUUUGCUGAGGAGAAGUCACCGAGCAAUCUGCUCACAGGGCCAUGUCUUUGCAUCAGAACAGGAAAAAAAACUGGCACUUUUCUCUGAUUUGUCAUGAGAAAUUAAAACCAGGUGUUACCUUAGCUGCCUUGGGAGCAGUCCUGGGGAUAAAACCAGCUAUUCACAGGAUAAGAGGAGUUUGAGAUCAGUCUCUUUAAAUUGUCAGAAUAUGCUGGUGGCUUAGGUGAAAGACUAGAAAACUUACUCUCUUUUGUGCUUGAGGAACAUCACUGCAAACCUUCAGUACACCUCAGCAACUGCUGUGCUACAGGCAGUCAGGAAGCAAGGAGGCCAAACACAGGCUUCACAUAAAAGUUUAAUGCCAUGAAACCAGAAUUUUCCUUGGGUCUAAACCCUGGGGUUCCUUCAGUCCGAGCUAUUUGCUUUGGAACUGCAAAAAAAUAAUUCCUUCCUUCUGACUCAUCCCUCUGAGCUCCUCUGACCUGGCAACCAUGGGAGAACAUUUACGUGUCCUAGGACAGACAGAAACGUGUUGAUGGUGCUUCCUGUACAAACCCGGUGCACAUGAAGUAGAGAAAGCUGGGACACGGUGGCUGGUGACAUUCCCACUGUGGCCUGCUUGAUCCUCAGGAGAUUUAGGCAUGCACCUGCUGGAACUCACCAUUAGCAAGAAGUCACACCACCCCAUACUAAAUAAAAGUAUUUGGUAUAAAAAAAAAGUACCAGUAAUAAAAGCUUAGAAAGUAAAGGACUUGCCAGAGUUUUUGCAGACACACUUCAGCCAUCCAAAAGUAGGUGUCAUGAUUCAGGUGAGAAGAAUCACACCCCAACACACCUUUUCCUACCCCUGGUCAUCUUCAGCCAAGACAAGGGGUUGAAUUAGGAAAUCUGUGUCUUUUUAGCUCUGCCUUUGGUGUGGCCAUGGAGAAUCACCUUAUACAUCUGGCUGUUCCACUCAUAGUCUGCUAUGGCUAAAACACCUGCAGAGAUAAAAGAUCAGCCUUGGCAAAGUUGUGUUUCCUCUAGGUAAAGUAUGUAAAGAAAAGAUAAUUUAAUACAAUUCAACUCAUUGUCCCUAGGGUAGCAGCAAUUGAUUUUUGUCCUGAUUUGAGCAUGCUGAGCCAUUCAUUAAUACCUGCUCUUCUGCUGAUCAGUGAAUAAUUGUGAGUUGAUCUACUCCUAGGAAAAAAAACCCAGAUAUUGUAUGUGCCAGCUGAGUAACUGGGGCCGAAGUCGGCUCGGUGUUUUGGCUUCUUUGCAGACCUUUAGCUGCCUGCUGUUUGCAACAUGCAUCUGGUGUGACCCAUCACACGGCAAUGCUUUCUGCCACCAAGGUGCUACAAACAAGGCAACCACCCAAACCCCAGCAGCCACGGGGCUGGUCCGAGUGAAACAGAGAAUUCUGGAAUUCACUGAAGUUAACAAAAUGAAUUAAGCAUUUCUAUUUUAGCUUGUAAAAUUAUGUGUUGAAUUUUAACCUUUUACUUAAGAAACCUCCGCCAAGGUACAAAAGGGCAUAAGAAAAUGCAAAUUACUGAAGCUUCUUGCAUAAGCAAUAACAAAAAGGGACCAAAAAGAAAAAGAACCCAGAUAAAGAGGCUCCUCUGUCUCCAGACUUAUCAAGACUGAUACACGUACUCAGACAAGCACCAAAGGACUGAAAGUGCAUGCGCAGAGAGGAAGAGUUCUAAAGUUCAACCAUGAGGAAGACCACAAUCUUCAGCUUCAAGAGACCACCAGGGACCCCCGUACGACCACCACAGCAAACCGCGUGUGCCCAGAAGGGCGUCGACUUAUUUAGCAUUAGGGGCGAGGGCAGACAGGGGCCAGGAGUUAAAUAGGCAUGGAAAAGUUGUGUAAUGUAUUGCAUAUGGAACACCUUUGGGAAUAAAAGUUUGGGUCAGACUAAAGCUCAGUGUGCAAGUCUUGGAGAAAUAUCUCACUUGUGCCGGGUGCUGAGAAUACAUACCUACUUCAUAACUACCCCAAGCUGUGGAGCCUAUUUAUUUAUUCCACGGAUCUCUUCACGAGGACGAGACAUUAUUUUUGUGUAUGCACAACAAUUUUUUACACCUCACACUACAAGCAAGCGGGGCCACCCAGGCCUCACCCGGAGAGCCCCGAGCCAUGUACCCCACUAUGUUGACAGCCCUGAGUCCUGCUGCGGAGGGCGGGCGGCGCUUUGCUGCCUUGAAGCGGAAAAAAAAAAUUAAAAAAUAAAAAUUGUGU
Molecule: long non-coding RNA, 4800 nt
Filed under: Taeniopygia guttata (zebra finch)
Lineage: Eukaryota; Metazoa; Chordata; Aves; Passeriformes; Estrildidae
Description: lncRNA (ENSTGUG00000028207.1)
Source: RNAcentral